CCCCCGGGCCGAACGAGCGGGGCUGGAUCGCCGCAGGCGCUCCGGGGUUGGAGCUGAGUCCGGCGCUGCCGCUCCUGUUCCGGCCGCUCCCGCUGUGGGACCACAGUCCGCCGGGGCUCAGUCCUGCUCCAGCUGCUCAUCCGACACCUGUUGGGUGAGACUUGACACUAUUCCUGCUCUCCCCUACUUUCUAUGUGCCUUGCACUCUCCAAUGGAAAAAGCUGUGAGUUUAAAAAGCCAGUGAAAACUGUUUGCUCUUUAUUUCCAGAGGACAGGAGGUUCUGAGUUGGAAACAGCCAUGAGGAUCAUCAAGUCAAGCCAGGGGCUGCUCUGAACAGGCACCUGGAGAUGCUUCAGCCCAGACAGACCCCACCCACACCCCAAAAAUACCCCAAGGAACAGCUGGCAUUACCUGGGAAUGUUGGCACCGUGCAUUUGCGGAGAGGCUUAGGCAGCAAUUCCCAGUGCUGACCUCCUGGAGCUCCCACACACCCCCAGGUCAGCCAGGCUUCCCUGCAGUGUUAUGGAGUUCUCUGUGCCUGAACUGGUUCUGUCACACUGACCCCCUGAGAGUGGCAGCACACAAUGUGCUAAUGAUACCAGCACUAAAAUCCUACCUGGCAGCUGCUGUGACUACAAGGAGAGACAGAUCUACUUGAGCAACCCACCUUAAAGAGUCUUGCAUGGGGCUGAAUUCAGUACAGGGGAACUGUCUGAGGCACUCCAUCCUCAGGAUUUCCACCACCACCAGGUGUGGGUGGUACUUUCUAAUUCUUUUCUGAUACCAAUACAGAGAAAGCAUCACAAUGGCCUUACAGAACUAACUGGUCUCUUAGACACAGUGUGAGCAAAUUACAGGACCUUGCAAAAUACCUCCUCUGUCAUAGGCCCUUUCCUUGAUACACCUUCUAUCCCAUUGCAAGCACAAGUUUUGGUUUCCCCUCCUCUCCAUAGACUGGGUUAUCCAGCUGUCUAAAUAAUCAAUUCCAAAGCUUUGCCCCCCAGCCUCUGCUCUGCACCACCUUCCGUGCCUUAAAUACAGCAGAUUCAUGACCUCCCCCAGCAGCUCAGAAGCCCCAGUUCUUAGUGAUCUCUGGGGAAGUUGUUCAGGGUUGUGACACA
RNAcentral lists this long non-coding RNA (1122 nucleotides) under Cyanistes caeruleus (blue tit). Its description in RNAcentral is "lncRNA (ENSCCEG00000019257.1)". Lineage: Eukaryota; Metazoa; Chordata; Aves; Passeriformes; Paridae. The record is from RNAcentral.